This 459-nucleotide ribosomal RNA is filed under the name uncultured bacterium. Its description in RNAcentral is "partial 16S ribosomal RNA". It matches the Rfam family "Bacterial small subunit ribosomal RNA", at positions 338 to 795 of the family's 1533-position model. The record is from RNAcentral.
CCUACGGGUGGCUGCAGUGAGGAAUAUUGGUCAAUGGGCGCGAGCCUGAACCAGCCAAGUCGCGUGAGGGAAGACGGUCCUAUGGAUUGUAAACCUCUUUUGUCGGGGAGCAAACGUCGCCACGCGUGGCGUUCCGAGAGUACCCGAAGAAAAAGCCUCGGCUAACUCCGUGCCAGCCGCCGCGGUAAUACGGAGGAUGCGAGCGUUAUCCGGAUUUAUUGGGUUUAAGGGGUGCGCAGGCGGAAGGUUAAGUCAGCGGUAAAAUUGAGAGGCUCAACCCCUUCGAGCCGUUGAAACUGGUUGUCUUGAGUGAGCGAGAAGUAUGCGGAAUGCGUGGUGUAGCGGUGAAAUGCAUAGAUAUCACGCAGAACUCCGAUUGCGAAGGCAGCAUACCGGCGCUCAACUGACGCUCAUGCACGAAAGUGUGGGUAUCGAACAGGAUUAGAUACCCGGGUAGUC